Molecule: ribosomal RNA, 515 nt
Filed under: uncultured bacterium
Lineage: Bacteria
Description: bacterial SSU rRNA
Rfam family: Bacterial small subunit ribosomal RNA
Source: RNAcentral
CUACGUGCCAGCAGCCGCGGUAAUACGGAGGGUGCGAGCGUUAAUCGGAAUAACUGGGCGUAAAGGGCACGCAGGCGGCUAUUUAAGUGAGGUGUGAAAUCCCCGGGCUUAACCUGGGAAUUGCAUUUCAGACUGGGUAGCUAGAGUACUUUAGGGAGGGGUAGAAUUCCACGUGUAGCGGUGAAAUGCGUAGAGAUGUGGAGGAAUACCGAAGGCGAAGGCAGCCCCUUGGGAAUGUACUGACGCUCAUGUGCGAAAGCGUGGGGAGCAAACAGGAUUAGAUACCCUGGUAGUCCACGCUGUAAACGCUGUCGAUUUGGGGAUUGGGCUUUAAGCUUGGUGCCCGUAGCUAACGUGAUAAAUCGACCGCCUGGGGAGUACGGCCGCAAGGUUAAAACUCAAAUGAAUUGACGGGGGCCCGCACAAGCGGUGGAGCAUGUGGUUUAAUUCGAUGCAACGCGAAGAACCUUACCUACUCUUGACAUCCAUGGAAUCUUGUAGAGAUACGGGAGUGC